RNAcentral lists this ribosomal RNA (464 nucleotides) under uncultured bacterium. RNAcentral's name for it is "partial 16S ribosomal RNA". It matches the Rfam family "Bacterial small subunit ribosomal RNA", at positions 339 to 795 of the family's 1533-position model. The record is from RNAcentral.
CUACGGGAUGCAGCAGUGGGGAAUAUUGCACAAUGGGCGCAAGCCUGAUGCAGCCAUGCCGCGUGUAUGAAGAAGGCCUUCGGGUUGUAAAGUACUUUCAGCGGGGAGGAAGGGAGUAAAGUUAAUACCUUUGCUCAUUGACGUUACCCGCAGAAGAAGCACCGGCUAACUCCGUGCCAGCAGCCGCGGUAAUACGGAGGGUGCAAGCGUUAAUCGGAAUUACUGGGCGUAAAGCGCACGCAGGCGGUUUGUUAAGUCAGAUGUGAAAUCCCCGGGCUCAACCUGGGAACUGCAUCUGAUACUGGCAAGCUAGAGUCUCGUAGAGGGGGGUAGAAUUCCAGGUGUAGCGGUGAAAUGCGUAGAGAUCUGGAGGAAUACCGGUGGCGAAGGCGGCCCCCUGGACGAAGACUGACGCUCAGGUGCGAAAGCGUGGGGAGCAAACAGGAUUAGAUACCCGGAUAGUC